This 522-nucleotide ribosomal RNA is filed under the name Liosomadoras oncinus. RNAcentral describes it as "partial 16S ribosomal RNA". It matches the Rfam family "Bacterial large subunit ribosomal RNA", at positions 1922 to 2597 of the family's 2925-position model. The record is from RNAcentral. Lineage: Eukaryota; Metazoa; Chordata; Actinopteri; Siluriformes; Auchenipteridae.
GUUAAACGGCCGCGGUAUUUUGACCGUGCAAAGGUAGCGCAAUCACUUGUCUUUUAAAUGAAGACCUGUAUGAAUGGUAGAACGAGGGCUUGACUGUCUCCCCCCUCAAGUCAAUGAAAUUGAUCUGUCCGUGCAGAAGCGGACAUACACAUACAAGACGAGAAGACCCUUUGGAGCUUAAGACACAAGAUCAACUAUGUCAAUACCCCAAAAAUUAAGUUAAACUAAAUAGCACAUGAUCCCUAUCUUCGGUUGGGGCGACCACGGAAGAAAACAAAGCUUCCACGCGGACUGGGGCUUCUAAGCCCUAAAACCAAGAAAGACACUUCUAAGCAACAGAACAUCUGACCUACAAGAUCCGGCAAAUUCGCCGAUCAACGGACCAAGUUACCCUAGGGAUAACAGCGCAAUCCCCUUUAAGAGUCCAUAUCGACAAGGGGGUUUACGACCUCGAUGUUGGAUCAGGACAUCCUAAUGGUGCAGCCGCUAUUAAGGGUUCGUUUGUUCAACGAUUAAAGUCCU